Rhizophagus clarus is the source of this 72-nucleotide non-coding RNA. Lineage: Eukaryota; Fungi; Glomeromycota; Glomeromycetes; Glomerales; Glomeraceae. The record is from the annotation of a GenBank genome assembly.
CUCCGAUAGUGUAGUGGUUAUCACUUAAGCUUUACGCGUUUAAUGUCCUUUGUUCGAACUCAAAACUAAGCA